UGGGGAAUCUUGCGCAAUGGGCGAAAGCCUGACGCAGCAAUGCCGCGUGAGGGAAGAAGGUCUUAGGAUUGUAAACCUCUUUCAGCAGGGACGAAAACAGACGGUACCUGCAGAAGAAGCCCCGGCUAACUACGUGCCAGCAGCCGCGGUAAUACGUAGGGGGCAAGCGUUGUCCGGAAUCAUUGGGCGUAAAGAGCGUGUAGGUGGACUGGAAGGUCUGGUGUGAAAGCCCGGGGCUCAACCCCGGAGGGUCACUGGAAACCAACAGUCUUGAGUCCGGAAGAGGAGAGUGGAAUUCCUAGUGUAGCGGUGGAAUGCGCAGAUAUUAGGAGGAACACCAAUGGCGAAGGCAGCUCUCUGGUACGUGACUGACACUGAGACGCGAAAGCGUGGGGAGCGAACAGG
RNAcentral lists this ribosomal RNA (405 nucleotides) under uncultured bacterium. RNAcentral's name for it is "bacterial SSU rRNA". It matches the Rfam family "Bacterial small subunit ribosomal RNA", at positions 355 to 776 of the family's 1533-position model. The record is from RNAcentral.